This 485-nucleotide ribosomal RNA is filed under the name uncultured bacterium. Its description in RNAcentral is "partial 16S ribosomal RNA". It matches the Rfam family "Bacterial small subunit ribosomal RNA", at positions 27 to 507 of the family's 1533-position model. The record is from RNAcentral.
GAUUGAACGCUGGCGGCAUGCUUUACACAUGCAAGUCGAACGGCAGCGCGGGCUUCGGCCUGGCGGCGAGUGGCGAACGGGUGAGUAAUGCAUCGGAACGUGCCCAGUAGUGGGGGAUAGCCCGGCGAAAGCCGGAUUAAUACCGCAUACGACCUGAGGGUGAACGCGGGGGACCGAAAGGCCUCGCGCUAUUGGAGCGGCCGAUGUCGGAUUAGCUAGUUGGUGGGGUAAAGGCUUACCAAGGCGACGAUCCGUAGCUGGUCUGAGAGGACGACCAGCCACACUGGGACUGAGACACGGCCCAGACUCCUACGGGAGGCAGCAGUGGGGAAUUUUGGACAAUGGGGGCAACCCUGAUCCAGCCAUGCCGCGUGCGGGAAGAAGGCCUUCGGGUUGUAAACCGCUUUUGUUCGGGAAGAAAUCCUCUGGGCUAAUACCCCGGGGGGAUGACGGUACCGGAAGAAUAAGCACCGGCUAACUACGUG